RNAcentral lists this small RNA (389 nucleotides) under Pelobates cultripes (western spadefoot toad). Lineage: Eukaryota; Metazoa; Chordata; Amphibia; Anura; Pelobatidae. The record is from RNAcentral.
GUGGGUGUGACUGGUGACAGAGUGAGGGAGUGGGUGACUAGUGACAGAGGGAGGGAGAUAGGGGUGACUAGUGACAGAGGGAGGGAGAUAGGGGUGACUAGUGACAGAGUGAGGGAAUGGGUGACUAGUGGCAGAGUGAGGGAGGGAAGAGAUGACUAGUGGCAAAGUGAGGGAGGGAAGGGGUGACUAGUGACAGAGUGAGGGGGGUGACUGUCACUAGUCACCCCAUCCCUCUCUCUGUCACUAGUCACUCCCUCCCUAACUCUGUCACUGUGUCACCUGCUCCCUCACUCUGUCACUGUGUCACCCGCUCCCUCUCUCUGUCACUAGUCACCCCAUCCCUCUCUCUGUCACUAGUCACCCCAUCCCUCUCUCUGUCACUGUGAAGG